Molecule: transfer RNA, 66 nt
Filed under: Ceromasia rubrifrons
Lineage: Eukaryota; Metazoa; Arthropoda; Insecta; Diptera; Tachinidae
Description: tRNA-Glu
Source: RNAcentral
AUUUAUAUAGUUUAAAAAACGUUACAUUUUCAUUGUAAAAUUAAAAUAUUUUUAUUUUUAUAAAUU